GUGGUGGUUGAUGUUUCUAACUUGAUUUAUGACUGGCUACCAGCUUGACCCCUCCCACCCCUGUCGUUCGGUCUCUUCGUCUUCUAUGCUCUGCAGCUGCUUGUCGUGAACAUCGAGGAUACCAUUUCUUCUUCGUUUCUAUCUUCUUCCAUGGUGCUCAUAAGAACUCUUUGGCUCUUUCAGCUAAUUCUCCUUCUCCUCUUCUUCGCUUCGCUCUCUGGAGCUCUCGACCUCUCCGAUUCAGAUCGGCUCGACGUCGCCAACGACACUGCCGUCUCCAACUCCUCCCUCUCUCAACCUAAAGAUGGCAGUUUCGCUAAAAUCAUCGAUGAUGCUCUUCGGAAGGAGUUCCCUGAGAAUGAACAAAACGACGCAACUGAUUCUGGAAGCUUCAACAAUAGUGUAGCUGAUCAGCAGGCAGUUCUGGAAACUGUUGCCAGAGUUAAACUGAAGAAAAAUGACACAAAAGAGGAAAAGUCAUUUAUUUUCAAUUUGGAAAAUGAUAAUGGAGCUGAAGAUACUCCUACACUGAUAGAUAGAAAGGACAACAUCUUCAUUAUAUCUAAUUUUAAAUCAAAAUAUCCAGUGCUGCAGUUGGAUUUGAGAUUGAUAUCAGAUUUGGUUGUCGUCAUUGUGUCUGCAACUUGUGGUGGCAUUGCGUUUGCGUGUGCCGGACAGCCGGUCUGCAUAUUUGAUCUAAGCUUAGUUCAUGACACACUGCAAUGCUAGGAUAUAAUUCAAUGUCUGAGCAUGCAUUCUUUAAGUUAUUUGAGCAUAUUCUUUAAGUUAUCUGAGCAUACUUAUUCAUUUGAACAGUUUCUAACACCAACAUUUUACAGGUUAUUACUGGAUACUUGCUAGCAGGGUCUGUUAUCGGGCCUGGAGGGUUCAGCUUUGUCAGUGAAAUGGUGCAAGUUGAGACAGUUGCUCAAUUUGGUGUCAUUUUUCUUCUUUUUGCGUUGGGCCUGGAGUUCUCAACUGCAAAACUUCGAGUUGUACGGGCAGUUGCCGUUUUAGGAGGUCUGCUCCAAAUUGUUUUAUUUAUGUUCCUAUGUGGGAUUACAGCGAUGUUAUGUGGUGGUAAGCCUUCUGAGGGUAUAUUUGUUGGUGCUAUCCUUUCGAUGUCUUCAACAGCAGUGGUUUUAAAGUUUUUGAUGGAAAAGAAUUCUACUAAUGCCCUUCAUGGUCAAGUCACCAUUGGCACCCUCAUUCUGCAGUUAUUUAGCUCCUUUUCCUUGCACUUAUUCUGAUACCUUGAGUCCACUCUGUCAGUAUGUUAUUACUGAUUCCGGACUGUGCUGUUGGUUUGCUGUUUGCAUUGCUUCCAGUUCUUGGUGGAACUUCUGGUGUUCUUCAAGGAGUAAUAUCCAUGACUAAAUUGUAAGUAAAUAACUUCAGAACGAACUAAAUGUCCCAGGGAGGAUUUUUCUUUUUCAAGGGUUGACACAACAUUGCCUGGAAUUAACAAAUUUGAGAAUGUAGGAUCUGGUAAGUUAAUCGCUUUUUGGGCAAGUUAGCAACAUCUCGAUUUUGGUGCACAUAAAAUAGACUGUCUUUUCUACAUUACCAUUUAAGGAAAUUGAAAUAUCAAGAAUCAUGCUUGUAAAGAAAGUCUUAAAUACUCUAGAACUCUCUUCCACUUUCUUCUUUAUUCGUCUCUCUCCCCCUACUAUCUCUAUGCCCCCUGCUUCCUUGUUUUCCUUAACAUGUGCAUUCUGACAUAAUUUUAUAAAAAAUGGUCAAUAAUGAUGGAUGGGAAUCCUAACAUCAUCCAAUUUUGUAAAAGAGAGAGUUAGGAUGGUUAUUUAUUUAUGAAAUCAAUCAAUUGUUGAGCAUGACUUAUAUCCAAAGAUUACUUGUAUAGUAGCAGCAUCUUGUAGGAUGGGGAAGGGAUUUUUUUUUUUUUUUU
This 1909-nucleotide unclassified non-coding RNA is filed under the name Hevea brasiliensis (rubber tree). Lineage: Eukaryota; Viridiplantae; Streptophyta; Magnoliopsida; Malpighiales; Euphorbiaceae. The record is from RNAcentral.